RNAcentral lists this ribosomal RNA (465 nucleotides) under uncultured bacterium. RNAcentral describes it as "partial 16S ribosomal RNA". It matches the Rfam family "Bacterial small subunit ribosomal RNA", at positions 28 to 507 of the family's 1533-position model. The record is from RNAcentral.
GACGAACGCUGGCGGCGUGCUUAACACAUGCAAGUCGAACGGAAAGGCCCUGCUUGCAGGGUACUCGAGUGGCGAACGGGUGAGUAACACGUGGGUGAUCUGCCCUGCACUUCGGGAUAAGCUUGGUAAACUGGGUCUAAUACCGGAUAGGAGCCAUCUUGAGUGUGGUGGUUGGAAAGUUUUUUCGGUGUAGGAUGAGCUCGCGGCCUAUCAGCUUGUUGGUGGGGUAAUGGCCUACCAAGGCGGCGACGGGUAGCCGGCCUGAGAGGGUGUACGGCCACAUUGGGACUGAGAUACGGCCCAGACUCCUACGGGAGGCAGAAGUGGGGAAGAUUGCACAAUGGGCGCAAGCCUGAUGCAGAGACGCCGCGUGGGGGAUGAAGGCCUUCGGGUUGUAAACUCCGUUCGCUAGGGACGAAGCUUUUUGUGACGGUACCUAGAUAAGAAGCACCGGCUAACUACGUG